This 449-nucleotide ribosomal RNA is filed under the name uncultured bacterium. Its description in RNAcentral is "partial 16S ribosomal RNA". It matches the Rfam family "Bacterial small subunit ribosomal RNA", at positions 29 to 523 of the family's 1533-position model. The record is from RNAcentral.
AACGAACGCUGGCGGCAGGCUUAACACAUGCAAGUCGAACGAUGUAGCAAUACAUAGUGGCGCACGGGUGAGUAACGCGUGGGAAUAUACCUUAUAGUGGGGAAUAACUUUGGGAAACUAAAGCUAAUACCGCAUACGCCCGAGAGGGGAAAGAUUUAUCGCUAUAAGAUUAGCCCGCGUGAGAUUAGGUAGUUGGUGGGGUAAUGGCCUACCAAGUCUACGAUCUCUAGCUGGUCUGAGAGGAUGAUCAGCCACACUGGAACUGAGACACGGUCCAGACUCCUACGGGAGGCAGCAGUGGGGAAUAUUGGGCAAUGGAGGAAACUCUGACCCAGCCAUGCCGCGUGAAUGAUGAAGGCCUUAGGGUUGUAAAGUUCUUUCGCCGAUGAAGAUAAUGACGGUAGUCGGAGAAGAAGCCCCGGCUAACUUCGUGCCAGCCGCCGCCGUAA